ACGUACAGUAAUGUCAUGAACUGGUGAGUAAUUCCUUGAUUAAGAAAUACCACCUAGGGAUAGGGGUAGGACGAUCAAUUGUUUUUCACUUCUUCUCUUUAAUGCUUUAUUAAUUGUAAGGGAAGGCUAGGGAUAGCAAGCCAGUAAUUAGUAAUAGGCUCUUUUCACCGAGGGAUCGGGUUAAGGGUAGGCUAAGAAAGUUGCAUGACAAUUAAUUAAUCAAGCUAAUAAUUCAAGAGGAGUAAAUAAGAGAAAGCGGAUAAGAUGAAAAUUGUAAACCCCCAACAACUCCAUUCAUCCAUUGUUUUCUUCUCAUCA
Molecule: long non-coding RNA, 318 nt
Filed under: Vigna radiata
Lineage: Eukaryota; Viridiplantae; Streptophyta; Magnoliopsida; Fabales; Fabaceae
Description: long non-coding RNA (VRAD_LNC012432)
Source: RNAcentral